ACUGUGAGCUGUGUUGAGCACUAAAAAGGUAAGGGGAGCUAACUAUAUAGAUAAAUAUAUUGCUUAUUGAUUGGUAUUUUGAUUGAUGGGAAUAUAUGUUGAAUUGGUUUGUGUAAUGGUUGAUCUAAAAAUAUGCUGCUUUUGUAAAUGUAAGAUGAUAUGCCCUGGAAUAUUAAGCAUGAACCUGUGGAUUUGGUAUUGUAUGUGUUGGCUUGUUUUGAAUGGAUGGGAUGUUGGAAAUCGACAUGCUAAACAUGUUGUGGUUACUGGAAAUUUGAUUGUACUGAGGAUUUGAUGAAGGGUAUCGGCUGUGUAGAAUUUUAGGAUCUGUGAGGGGAAGUGAAGUACUGGCUAGGGGAAAUUGAGGUUUAAGAACACUGUAGUGCCAC
This 389-nucleotide long non-coding RNA is filed under the name Vigna radiata. Its description in RNAcentral is "long non-coding RNA (VRAD_LNC006425)". The record is from RNAcentral. Lineage: Eukaryota; Viridiplantae; Streptophyta; Magnoliopsida; Fabales; Fabaceae.